AUGAAGCAGAACAGCAGCGUGCCUGCCUUCCUCAGCAAGCUGUGGGCGCUGCUGGAGGAUUCGGGGACAGACCAGCUGGUCUCCUGGAGCCGGAAUGGGACCUGUUUCCAGGUGUCCAAUGAGGGGAGGUUUGCCAAAGAGAUCCUGCCGCUCUACUUCAAGCACAGCAACAUGCCCAGCUUCAUCCGCCAGCUCAACAUGUACGGCUUUCACAAAGUGGUGCUUGUGGACGGACGGCUGCCUCGGGACCUUGAUGAUGUCAUCGAGUUCCAGCAUCCGUAUUUCAGACAGGGCGAAGCCCCUCUGCUGGAGAACAUCAAGAGGAAGGUGUCGGUGAGCCGAACGGACGAUGUCAAACUAAAACAACAGGAAGUGUCAAAGAUCCUGUCUGAAGUCCGUCAGAUGAAAGGGAAACAAGACCUGACCGACAACAGGAUUCUGGCUAUUAAAAGAGAAAAUGAAGCUCUUUGGAAUGAGAUCUCAUCCCUGAAACAGAAACAGCUGCAGCAGCAUCAGGUCAUCCGCAAGAUCGUCCAUUUCAUCGCCACCAUGGUGCAGUCAAACAGCGUGGCUGGCAUCAAGAGGAAGAUGCCUCUGAUGAUCAGCACCUCAGGGGGGACGCACUCCUACGCCAAGUACAGCCGGCCAAUCACCAUGGACGCCAGCCAGGACCCCACAGCUGUACACGGCAUUCCGAAAUGUGAAACAUGUGAGAAAAGCAGCGUGUAUCCAGGCCGAGUCAUCAUCUCUGACAUCACCGACCUGGACACUGACCAGGCUCUGGGGGAGCUGCCCAGCUUUGAGCCAAGUGCAGCCGAGACGCUGUUCAGCGGCGACAUAGAGACUCCAUCGCUGGCACCUGGUGCUGGAGGCCCCACCUUCACUUCACACGACCUGUACGAUGCUUUCCUUCACGACAGCUGCCACAUGAGCGAUGAGGAGAUGUCCGACAGGAGUGAGCUCAUGGACCAUCCAGACAUGAUUGACAGCAGCCUGGCCCAGAUCCACUCCUCUCUCAGCAACGCUCAACUCAACAUCAACCUGGACUUACUCAGAGAGCUCUUCAGUCCGUCCAGUGGAGGGUCAGUAACUGCCUACGCUGACGUGGGAGCCCACACCCAGGAGGCGAUGGCUGGGGAGUGGGAGUUGAGCCAGCGAGUGGGACACGAGGGUGCCCUGCCCCCGGCUGAGCAAGAGAGCGGGGAGCGGACGGAUGGCUCGUACCCGAGAGAGGAAGAGGAGGAGGAGGAGGGGGUGGACAUGCUGCCUACGCUUCUGGAGUUGGCACAGGAGGCUGGCGCUGGCGGCAGCUUCUUCCCCCCCACGGCUGGGGCCGAGGCCUUCAACCCCCCUUCACCAGAGCAGAGACCCCCCUUACUGUGCAGCUAGACACAGGACAUCGCCCCCCCGGGGGGCGGUGGGGGCAGGGAGCCCUGGCACUGACUGGAGACAACGACUUGUGUUUAAGCAGCGGCCUUCACGCAGGGCAGCAUCCCGGAGAGUGCAACAAUGGUGAGGUUCGAGUGCCAAGCCGGGGAGAAAGGGGAGAUGGAUGAAUGGAUUUGCGGUCGAAGAAAGUCUUCAGGUGUGAUCUGAAGAUGGGCAAAGAGGACGAGGUGCAGGGAUUUGGGCAGAGGGUGCCAGAGAGUGGGGGCAGUACUGUAGUGGCUGAAAGCAGGGAAUGUUUGGUCUCAUGAAGGUUUGAGCGUAACUGAAUGAUCUUUCAUUUUCUAUACGUUAACA
RNA transcript from Callorhinchus milii (elephant shark), 1743 nucleotides. It is a transcript of the gene named heat shock factor protein 2, with no coding region annotated. The record is from RefSeq and is a predicted model, not a curated record. Lineage: Eukaryota; Metazoa; Chordata; Chondrichthyes; Chimaeriformes; Callorhinchidae. The transcript has 14 exons.